Molecule: ribosomal RNA, 342 nt
Filed under: Amblyomma nodosum
Lineage: Eukaryota; Metazoa; Arthropoda; Arachnida; Ixodida; Ixodidae
Description: partial large subunit ribosomal RNA
Rfam family: Bacterial large subunit ribosomal RNA (bases 196-342)
Source: RNAcentral
CAAAAAUUGAAGUUAUUUUUAUAUGUGAAGAAACAAUAAUGAAAAUUAUUGACAAGAAGACCCUAAGAAUUUUUUUAAUUUAAUUAAAAAAUUUUUUAAUUAAAUUCUUUAAUUGGGGCGAUUAAUAAAAAUUAAAAACUUUGUUUUUUUAAAAAAGAACCAAUAAUAUUGGAAAUAUGAUAAAAAUACUCUAGGGAUAACAGCGUAAUAACUUUAGAUAGUUCAUAUAGACAAAGUAGUUUGCGACCUCGAUGUUGGAUUAGGAUACUUUUUUAAUGAAGAAGUUAAAAAAAGAAGUUUGUUCAACUUUUAAUUUCCUACUUGAUCUGAGUUCAGACCGGA